CGCGUAGGCGGUCUGCUAAGCGUGCGGUGAAAGCCUGGGGCUCAACCCCAGGUCUGCCGUGCGAACUGGUGGACUUGAGCACUGUAGAGGCAGGUGGAAUUCCGGGUGUAGCGGUGGAAUGCGUAGAGAUCCGGAAGAACACCGGUGGCGAAGGCGGCCUGCUGGGCAGUUGCUGACGCUGAGGCGCGACAGCGUGGGGAGCAAACAGGAUUAGAUACCCUGGUAGUCCACGCCGUAAACGAUGGGCACUAGGUGCUUGGGGGAGCGACCCCCCGAGUGCCGGCGCUAACGCAUUAAGUGCCCCGCCUGGGGAGUACGACCGCAAGGUUGAA
This 332-nucleotide ribosomal RNA is filed under the name uncultured Gemmatimonas sp. RNAcentral describes it as "bacterial SSU rRNA". It matches the Rfam family "Bacterial small subunit ribosomal RNA", at positions 568 to 898 of the family's 1533-position model. Lineage: Bacteria; Pseudomonadati; Gemmatimonadota; Gemmatimonadia; Gemmatimonadales; Gemmatimonadaceae. The record is from RNAcentral.